GACGAACGCUGGCGGCGUGCCUAAUACAUGCAAGUAGAACGCUGAAGGAGGAGCUUGCUUCUCUGGAUGAGUUGCGAACGGGUGAGUAACGCGUAGGUAACCUGCCUGGUAGCGGGGGAUAACUAUUGGAAACGAUAGCUAAUACCGCAUAACAGUAGAUAUUGCAUGAUAUCUGCUUAAAAGGUGCAAUUGCAUCACUACCAGAUGGACCUGCGUUGUAUUAGCUAGUUGGUGAGGUAACGGCUCACCAAGGCGACGAUACAUAGCCGACCUGAGAGGGUGAUCGGCCACACUGGGACUGAGACACGGCCCAGACUCCUACGGGAGGCAGCAGUAGGGAAUCUUCGGCAAUGGACGGAAGUCUGACCGAGCAACGCCGCGUGAGUGAAGAAGGUUUUCGGAUCGUAAAGCUCUGUUGUAAGAGAAGAACGAGUGUGAGAGUGGAAAGUUCACACUGUGACGGUAUCUACCAG
This 473-nucleotide ribosomal RNA is filed under the name Streptococcus sp. oral taxon 431. RNAcentral describes it as "bacterial SSU rRNA". It matches the Rfam family "Bacterial small subunit ribosomal RNA", at positions 28 to 486 of the family's 1533-position model. The record is from RNAcentral. Lineage: Bacteria; Bacillati; Bacillota; Bacilli; Lactobacillales; Streptococcaceae.